CCUACGGGUGGCAGCAGUGGGGGAUAUUGCACAAUGGGGGGAACCCUGAUGCCGCGACGCCGCGUGGGUGAAGGAGCGUUUCGGCGCGUACAGCCCUUUCGGCAGGGAAGAUGAUGACGGUACCUGACCAAGAAGCCCCGGCUAACUCCGUGCCAGCAGCCGCGGUUAUACGUAGGGGGCAAGCGUUAUCCGGAUUUACUGGGGGUAAAGGGGGCGCAGACGGCAAUGCAAGUCAGGAGUGAAAGCCCGGGGCCUAACCACGGGACUGCACUUGGAACUGCAUGGCUGGAGUACAGGAGGGGCAGGCGGAAUGCGUAGUGUAGCGGUGAAAUGCGUAGAGAUUAGGAGGAACACCGGUGGCGAAGGCGGCCUGCUGGACUGUGACUGACGCUGAGGCCCGAAGGCGUGGGGAGCAAACAGGAUUAGAUACCCCAGUAGUC
RNAcentral lists this ribosomal RNA (440 nucleotides) under uncultured bacterium. RNAcentral describes it as "partial 16S ribosomal RNA". It matches the Rfam family "Bacterial small subunit ribosomal RNA", at positions 338 to 795 of the family's 1533-position model. The record is from RNAcentral.